This is a long non-coding RNA of Dendronephthya gigantea, 935 nucleotides long. RefSeq lists it as uncharacterized. The transcript has 3 exons. Lineage: Eukaryota; Metazoa; Cnidaria; Anthozoa; Malacalcyonacea; Nephtheidae. The record is from RefSeq and is a predicted model, not a curated record.
CGACAAUUCUCACGUAUCCAUCUUCAUCCAUUGAAGCUUUAUCCCUUUUCAUGUAAACAGAUAAAAAUAUAGAAUAUCUGACGACACUCUAUACUAUAGUAUAUAGGCCAUAUAGACCCUUUGGACAUGACGUCACAGUAUAGCGAAAGCUAGUUAGGAGAAUUUACUUCGUUAGUUGCUUUUUGUCUGGCCCGAACAUUCAACGUUCGUAAAACAACAAGGCAAGAAUUCACUAAGAGACAUGUCUUUGGGAUUAUAACGUCAGGGCUACUGUACGUAAAAUUUAACUACCUGUCAGCGUUAUAGCAGUACACAUUGUAAUUGGUGCUUAUGUCUGGAUGGCUAUGCAAGAGAGUGAAGAUACCUAUAAAGAUAACCAGACAUCCAAAGAAGACUAAUACUGAGGGCCAAGAAGCCAAUAAGACUGUGUGCAAUGCUGAACACUGAUCACAUGACUGGAAUAAGUAAACAUGUGAAGAUAAGAUAGCUAGCUCAUGAAAAUUAAAUAGAUCGUGAGAGCAAAUUCCAUUUCAUCCAAAGACAAGGUGGUUCUAAGUUGAAAACAAUGAAGUUGUGACAUACACGUAACUAGAUAAUGUUUAAUUGUAUCGUAUUAGAGAAAUUAAGAUAUUCAUAUACUAGUCUGGUCUACAGGUAAAGGUAUCGUUAUCAUCAUGCAUUAUCAAUCGAACGUUAGUUGAGGGCGACUAUAUUUAUAUAUUCUGUUAUGCAAGGCUCUUCGCGUUCUAUUGAACUUGAAAUUGCUUUCAAAAGAAAUUAGCCAGGCAUAGCAGAAUAUAUGAGUAUGGGCCCCCGAUUGACGAUAUUGAUUAAUUUGUUCAAUGAAUUUCUAGCGAUUUCGGAUAGCGCUAUCCACCGGAUAGUGAUUUUUUAACCGUUCUAAACUGAAUGCUCGAAAAGCGAUAAAAUUUCAU